AAUGAACGCUGGCGGCAUGCCUAACACAUGCAAGUCGAACGGCAGCACAGGAAGAGCUUGCUCUUACGGGUGGCGAGUGGCGGACGGGUGAGGUAGACAUCGGAAUCUACUUUGUCGUGGGUGAUAACGUAGGGAAACGUACUCUAAUACCGCAUAUGACCCACGGGUGAAAGCAGGGGUUCUUCGGACCUUUCGCGAUUGAAUGAGCCGAUGACGGUUUAGCUAGUUGGCGGGGUAAAGGCCCUCCAAGGCGACGAUCCGUAGCUGGUCUGAGAGCAUGAUGCGAUACACGGGAAGUGAGGCAGGGCCCAGACACUUACGGGAGGCAGCAGUGGGGAAUAUUGCGCGAGGGGCGAGAGGGUGAUACAGCAAUAUGGGGUGAGUGAUGAAGGAGUUAGGGUUGUAAAGCCAUGUUGUUGGGAAAGAAAAAAAGCAGGUUUAUACGCCGUUGUAAUGACGGUACCGAAAGAAUAAGCACCGGCUAACUUCGUG
Molecule: ribosomal RNA, 492 nt
Filed under: uncultured bacterium
Lineage: Bacteria
Description: partial 16S ribosomal RNA
Rfam family: Bacterial small subunit ribosomal RNA
Source: RNAcentral